AUGCAAGUCGAACGGGAAGUCUGGUGCUUGCACUGGAUGGAGAGUGGCAGGACGGGUGAGUAAUACAUAGGUGAUCUACCUUGAGGAGAGGGAUAACUGUGGGAAACCAUAGCUAAUACCUCAGAUGUUUGAGAAGUUAGAGAUUUCAAACUAAAGCUCCGGUGCCUCAAGAUGAGCCUGUGGGCUAUCAGCUAGUUGGUGAGGUAAUGGCUCACCAAGGCUAAGACGGCUAGGGGACGUGAGAGCGUGAUCCCCCACAAUGGAACUGAGACACGGUUCAUACUUCUACGGGAGGCAGCAGUGAGGAAUAUUGCGCAAUAGGGGGAACCCUGACGCAGCAACGCCGCGUGAGUGAUGAAGGCUUUCGGGUCGUAAAGCUCUUUUUUAGGGAAAGAUAGUGACGGUACCCUAAGAAUAAGUCCCGGCUAACUACGUGCCAGCAGCCGCGGUAAAACGUAGGGGGCGAGCGUUAUCCGGAUUUAUUGGGCGUAAAGAGCACGUAGGUGGCGUUAUAAGUUGGGUGUGAAAGCUCCUGGCUCAACUGGGAGAGGUCACUCAAUACUGUAGUGCUUGAGGUUGGAAUAGGAGAGCAGAAUUCUCGGUGUAGUGGUGGAAUGCGUAGAUAUCGGGAGGAAUACCAGUGGCGAAAGCGGCUCUCUAGUUCACGCCUGACACUGAGGUGCGAAAGCGUGGGUAGCGAACGGGAUUAGAUACCCCGGUAGUCCACGCCGUAAACGAUGGAUACUAGGUGUAGGGGGCAUCUUACCCCUUCU
RNAcentral lists this ribosomal RNA (773 nucleotides) under uncultured bacterium. RNAcentral describes it as "bacterial SSU rRNA". It matches the Rfam family "Bacterial small subunit ribosomal RNA", at positions 55 to 844 of the family's 1533-position model. The record is from RNAcentral.